GAGACUUUAUACCCCUAGGUGUUUUUGCUAUUCCGCACUCUUCGUGAAGUUGACGAGAACCGGAGUAAAAAUGUUUGCGAUCCGCAACAGUUUGACAAGCACGUCCCGUUUAUCGGGCGUCAUCGUCAGGUCGUAUCACAAUUCGAUCGUUUCCACACCACCCAGGGUGAAAAUCUCGGCACCUGAAAAGAUAUUUUCGUUGCUCUGUAUCGGCGCAGCAAUAUUGGGAACACCCAUGUAUAUGGUACCUAAUUUUAAGAACUAUGCCAAGAAGAAGGAAUAAAGAUAAAGGAAACUAGAUUGAAGCUUCGAACAGGUCAUCUUAGCUUGAAAAUUAAUGGUAUCAAAGUUAUUAUUUAUGAUAUAAUAUCCAACGGUCAUAUACAUUUAUGGAUCCAUUGGAGGUGUAGAUCUAGGUUGUUAAUAAAUAUGUAAAAAGUGGAAA
This is a non-coding RNA of Nylanderia fulva, 445 nucleotides long. The record is from RefSeq and is a predicted model, not a curated record. NCBI's taxonomy places the organism in Eukaryota, Metazoa, Arthropoda, Insecta, Hymenoptera, Formicidae.